CGUUACUAACGACGAUAUGCUUUGGGGAGCUGUAAGUAAGCUUUGAUCCAGAGAUUUCCGAAUGGGGAAACCCAGCACGAGUUAUGUCGUGUUAUCGAUAUGUGAAUACAUAGCAUAUCUGAAGGCAGACGCGGAGAACUGAAACAUCUUAGUACCCGCAGGAAGAGAAAGAAAAAUCGAUUCCCUGAGUAGCGGCGAGCGAAACGGGAAGAGCCCAAACCAACGAGCUUGCUUGUUGGGGUUGUAGGACACUCUAUACGGAGUUACAAAAGAACAGACUAGACGAAUCAUCUGGAAAGAUGAAUCAAAGAAGGUAAUAAUCCUGUAGUCGAAAGUUUGUUCACUCUUGAGUGGAUCCUGAGUACGACGGAACACGAGAAAUUCCGUCGGAAUCUGGGAGGACCAUCUCCUAAGGCUAAAUACUCUCUAGUGACCGAUAGUGAACCAGUACCGU
RNAcentral lists this ribosomal RNA (454 nucleotides) under Staphylococcus aureus. Its description in RNAcentral is "partial 23S ribosomal RNA". It matches the Rfam family "Bacterial large subunit ribosomal RNA", at positions 57 to 504 of the family's 2925-position model. Lineage: Bacteria; Bacillati; Bacillota; Bacilli; Caryophanales; Staphylococcaceae. The record is from RNAcentral.